Molecule: non-coding RNA, 21 nt
Filed under: Caenorhabditis elegans
Lineage: Eukaryota; Metazoa; Nematoda; Chromadorea; Rhabditida; Rhabditidae
Source: RNAcentral
UUGGAUCCAAUUGUUGAAUUU